GAUGAACGCUGGCGGCGUGCCUAAUACAUGCAAGUCAAGCGAACAGACGAGGAGCUUGCUCCUUUGACGUUAGCGGCGGACGGGUGAGUAACACGUAGGUAACCUACCUAUAAGACUGGGAUAACUUCGGGAAACCGGAGCUAAUACCGGAUAAUAUUUCGAACCGCAUGGUUCGAUAGUGAAAGAUGGCUUUGCUAUCACUUAUAGAUGGACCUGCGCCGUAUUAGCUAGUUGGUAAGGUAACGGCUUACCAAGGCAACGAUACGUAGCCGACCUGAGAGGGUGAUCGGCCACACUGGAACUGAGACACGGUCCAGACUCCUACGGGAGGCAGCAGUAGGGAAUCUUCCGCAAUGGGCGAAAGCCUGACGGAGCAACGCCGCGUGAGUGAUGAAGGCCUUCGGAUCGUAAAACUCUGUUAUUAGGGAAGAACAAACGUGUAAGUAACUGUGCACGUCUUGACGGUACCUAAUCAGAAAGCCACGGCUAACUAC
Molecule: ribosomal RNA, 494 nt
Filed under: uncultured bacterium
Lineage: Bacteria
Description: partial 16S ribosomal RNA
Rfam family: Bacterial small subunit ribosomal RNA
Source: RNAcentral